This 324-nucleotide ribosomal RNA is filed under the name uncultured eukaryote. RNAcentral describes it as "partial 18S ribosomal RNA". It matches the Rfam family "Eukaryotic small subunit ribosomal RNA", at positions 1470 to 1796 of the family's 1831-position model. The record is from RNAcentral.
CCCUUAGAUGUUCUGGGCCGCACGCGCGCUACACUGAUGCAUUCAACGAGCACCCGCUGGGCCGAGAGGUCCGGCUAAUCUUUGAACGUGCAUCGUGCUGGGGAUAGAUGAUUGCAAUUAUUCAUCUUCAACGAGGAAUUCCUAGUAAACGCAAGUCAUCCGCUUGCAUUGAUUACGUCCCUGCCCUUUGUACACACCGCCCGUCGCACCUACCGAUUGAAUGGUCCGGUGAAAUUCUCGGACGCGGACUUGCGAUGUUAAUUCGGAGCUUGACUGUGAAAGUUAAUUAAACCUUACCAUUUAGAGGAAGGUGAAGUCGUAACA